This 183-nucleotide non-coding RNA is filed under the name human gut metagenome. The record is from RNAcentral.
UCGAGUGCUGCAAAAAUAGCACACGAUAAUAUGGAACCGGGUGAAAAUCCCGGACAGUUCCCGCUGCUGUAAGUUCCUACUUCGAAUAUCGGAGUAUAAAAGAUUCCGUCAAUUACUGCCACUGGCUACUUUCAGGCCGGGAAGGCGACGGAACAGGAACAAGUCAGAAAACAUGCCGAAACC